GCAGGCCUAACACAUGCAAGUCGAACGGUAACAGGAAGAAGCUUGCUUCUUUGCUGACGAGUGGCGGACGGGUGAGUAAUGUCUGGGAAACUGCCUGAUGGAGGGGGAUAACUACUGGAAACGGUAGCUAAUACCGCAUAACGUCGCAAGACCAAAGAGGGGGACCUUCGGGCCUCUUGCCAUCGGAUGUGCCCAGAUGGGAUUAGCUAGUAGGUGGGGUAAAGGCUCACCUAGGCGACGAUCCCUAGCUGGUCUGAGAGGAUGACCAGCCACACUGGAACUGAGACACGGUCCAGACUCCUACGGGAGGCAGCAGUGGGGAAUAUUGCACAAUGGGCGCAAGCCUGAUGCAGCCAUGCCGCGUGUAUGAAGAAGGCCUUCGGGUUGUAAAGUACUUUCAGCGGGGAGGAAGGGAGUAAAGUUAAUACCUUUGCUCAUUGACGUUACCCGCAGAACAAGCACCGGCUAACUCCGUGCCAGCAGCCGCGGUAAUACGGAGGGCGCAAGCGUUAAUCGGAAUUACUGGGCGUAAAGCGCACGCACGCGGUUCGUUAAGCCAGAUGUGAAAUCCCCGGGCUCAACCUGGGAACUGCAUCUGAUACUGGCAAGCUUGAGUCUCGUAGAGGGGGGGUAGAAUUCCAGGUGUAGCGGUGAAAUGCGUAGAGAUCUGGAGGAAUACCGGUGGCGAAGGCGGCCCCCUGGACGAAGACUGACGCUCAGGUGCGAAAGCGUGGGGAGCAAACAGGAUUAGAUACCCUGGUAGUCCACGCCGUAAACGAUGUCGACUUGGAGGUUGUGCCCUUGAGGCGUGGCUUCCGGAGCUAACGCGUUAAGUCGACCGCCUGGGGAGUACGGCCGCAAGGUUAAAACUCAAAUGAAUUGACGGGGGCCCGCACAAGCGGUGGAGCAUGUGGUUUAAUUCGAUGCAACGCGAAGAACCUUACCUGGUCUUGACAUCCACAGAACCUUGUAGAGAUACGAGGGUGCCUUCGGGAACUGUGAGACAGGUGCUGCAUGGCUGUCGUCAGCUCGUGUUGUGAAAUGUUGGGUUAAGUCCCGCAACGAGCGCAACCCUUAUCCUUUGUUGCCAGCGGUCCGGCCGGGAACUCAAAGGAGACUGCCAGUGAUAAACUGGAGGAAGGUGGGGAUGACGUCAAGUCAUCAUGGCCCUUACGACCAGGGCUACACACGUGCUACAAUGGCGCAUACAAAGAGAAGCGACCUCGCGAGAGCAAGCGGACCUCAUAAAGUGCGUCGUAGUCCGGAUUGGAGUCUGCAACUCGACUCCAUGAAGUCGGAAUCGCUAGUAAUCGUGGAUCAGAAUGCCACGGUGAAUACGUUCCCGGGCCUUGUACACACCGCCCGUCACACCAUGGGAGUGGGUUGCAAAAGAAGUAGGUAGCUUAACCUUCGGGAGGGCGCUUACCACUUUGUGAUUCAU
This 1441-nucleotide ribosomal RNA is filed under the name uncultured organism. RNAcentral's name for it is "SSU rRNA". It matches the Rfam family "Bacterial small subunit ribosomal RNA". The record is from RNAcentral.